This 207-nucleotide ribosomal RNA is filed under the name uncultured Thermus sp. RNAcentral's name for it is "partial 16S ribosomal RNA". It matches the Rfam family "Bacterial small subunit ribosomal RNA", at positions 1174 to 1382 of the family's 1533-position model. Lineage: Bacteria; Thermotogati; Deinococcota; Deinococci; Thermales; Thermaceae. The record is from RNAcentral.
AGGGGACGACGUCUGGUCAGCAUGGCCCUUACGGCCUGGGCGACACACGUGCUACAAUGCCCACUACAAAGCGAUGCCACCCGGCAAUGGGAGCUAAUCGCAAAAAGGUGGCCCAGUUCGGAUUGGGUCUGCAACCCGACCCCAUGAAGCCGGGAUCGCUAGUAAUCGCGGAUCAGCCAUGCCGCGGUGAAUACGUUCCCGGGCCUU